Molecule: ribosomal RNA, 1620 nt
Filed under: marine sediment metagenome
Description: bacterial LSU rRNA
Rfam family: Bacterial large subunit ribosomal RNA
Source: RNAcentral
GAUGUGGAGUCGCAUAGACAGCCAGGAGGUUGGCUCAGAAGCAGCCACCCUUGAAAGAGUGCGUAACAGCUCACUGGUCUAGUGGUUCCGCGCCGACAAUGUAGCGGGGCUCAAGCACACCACCGAAGACGCGGCAGUAUUUUGUACUGGGUAGGAGAGCGUCCCAUGAGGGGCGAAGCGGCCGUGUGAACGCGCCGUGGACUUCAUGGGAGUGAGAAUGCAGACAUGAGUAGCGAGAGACGGGUGAAGAUCCCGUCCGCUGGAUGACCAAGGGUUCCAGGGCCACGUUCAUCGUCCCUGGGUGAGUCGGGUCCUAAGGCGAGGCCGACAGGCGUAGUCGAAUGGAUGAACGGGUCGAUAUUCCCGUACCGGCUUUCAGCCGCCAAAACCGAGGCUUGGAGUACUAACCUCCGGGUCCGGGCUUACUGCUCCUUCGGGGGCGGGAUGCCCUGGCCUGUUGGGACCGAUCCUUGUAGUAGGUCAGCGCAGGAGUGACGCAGAAGGGUAGCCGGCCGCGGAGGUGGUCUUCCGUGGUCAAGCACGCAGGGCGUGGGACAGGCAAAUCCGUCCCGCAUGGGUCCGAGGUGCGAUGAUGGGGGCCUUAUGGCCCGAUAUCCGGUGAUCCCGGCUGCCGAGAAAAGCUUCGGCGUCAGGCUCAAAGCCGCCCGUACCCCAAACCGACACUGGUGGUCAGGUAGAGAAUACCAAAGCGAUCGAGCGAAUCCUGGUCAAGGAACUCGGCAAAUCACUCCCGUUCCUUCGGUUUAAGGGAGACCCCCGAUGGUGAACACACUUGCUGUGGGAGCUUUUGGGGGUGGCACAGACCAGGGGGUAGCGACUGUUUACCAAAAACACAGGUGCAUGCGAAGGCGCAAGCCGCUGUAUAUGCACUGACGCCUGCCCGGUGCCGGAAGGUUAAGAGGAUCCGUCAGCCUUCGGGUGAAGCGGUGAAUUCAAGCCCCUAAACGGCGGUGGUAACUAUAACCAUCCUAAGGUAGCGAAAUUCCUUGUCGGGUAAGUUCCGACCUGCACGAAUGGAGUAACGACUUCCGCACUGUCUCAACCAGAAGCUCGGUGAAAUUGCAUCGCGAGUAAAGAUGCUCGCUACGCGCGGCAGGACGGAAAGACCCCGGGACCUUUACUGCAACUUGGUAUUGAGGCUCGGUAUGACACGUGCAGGAUAGGUGGGAGACUUUGAAGCGUGGACGCCAGUUCAUGUGGAGUCAUCCUUGGAAUACCACCCUUGUCAUGCUGAGUCCCUAACAUCCAUCCGUUAUCCGGAUGAUGGACAGUGCCUGGUGGGCAGUUUAACUGGGGCGGUUGCCUCCCAAAAGGUAACGGAGGCGCCCAAAGGUUCCCUCAGACCGGUCGGUAAUCGGUCGUCGAGUGUAAAGGCACAAGGGAGCUUGACUGCGAGAGAGGCAUCUCAAGCAGGUACGAAAGUAGGGCUUAGUGAUCCGACAGUGGCGAGUGGAAGCGCUGUCGCUCAACGGAUAAAAGGUACCCCGGGGAUAACAGGCUGAUCUUCCCUAAGAGUCCAUAUCGACGGGAAGGUUUGGCACCUCGAUGUCGGCUCAUCGCAUCCUGGGGCUGAAGCAGGUCCCAAGGGUUGGGCUGUUC